This is a non-coding RNA of Castor canadensis (American beaver), 72 nucleotides long. NCBI's taxonomy places the organism in Eukaryota, Metazoa, Chordata, Mammalia, Rodentia, Castoridae. The record is from the annotation of a RefSeq genome assembly.
UGAGGUGUGGCUCAGUGGCAGAGCACUUACCUGGUAUGCAAGAGGCCCUGGGUUCAAUCCCCAGCACUGCAA